RNAcentral lists this long non-coding RNA (1913 nucleotides) under Brassica rapa (field mustard). Its description in RNAcentral is "long non-coding RNA (BRAP_LNC004882)". Lineage: Eukaryota; Viridiplantae; Streptophyta; Magnoliopsida; Brassicales; Brassicaceae. The record is from RNAcentral.
UUUCUUGGUGGGAUGCAUUGUAUACUAUUUUGUUUAUCUUGCUUUUGAGAUAUUUUUUCUUAUCAUUCAUUGUUACUAGGGAAAUUGCACCCUAUAUACAUAAAAAAAACUUAAAUACACUAACUAACCAAAAUUUCCCAUCUCUCCUACUUUCUCUUCCUAUCUCUCUACUCUCUCUCCCAAAAUCUAAUUUUCAUUUUUUUUGGGUUAUUUGGCAAAUAAGCCCUUACUAGGGAAAGUAACUUAUGUGAAAAAUGGAAAAGCCUUCGUACCUAUAUUCACAGCGUUUCCAACAGACAUGAUGUCAGACUCCGUAUAUCUCUCCUCCUUUUAGUAGGCAAAACCCCUACUAACAUGUCAUCAUAGAAUAAGUUUACCUAAAAUCAUUUCCAACGCAUAUAUAAUCAACAAAGUUUUACACCUUAAAAUAUAUGCAACAGGUAUUACAAAAAAAAAUGCAAAUAAAAUAAACAAGAAUAGUAAAAACCCACGAUAAAAAAUAUUUAAAGUUUUAAACCAUACUGAUUAGGUUUUCUUUACGAUUGUUGUGUAAUUAAUGAACCUAAAGAAAAAACUUAUUAUUGUUAAGAUCAUGCUUUGUGGUUUGUUGUUCAACCAGUUUAGUUUAUACGGACUAUCCAACUAAAACAAUACAUAAACUGGACGCUGAUUGUAUCAUACGAACGGUUCUAAAUCUGGACCAAAGACAUAUACUAGCCGGUUUAAUUCCGGUUAAGUUGUCCAAUCCUCAAUCUUUUUUUUUUGAAAAGCCAAUCUUCAAUCUUACUACACAUUACAUAUUGAUAUUAGUAUACGGUUGGCUCUCUACUCUUGCAUAACGUUUUUUUUUUUUUUUUUUUUUUUUUUUUUUUUUUUUUUUUUUUUUAACAGGAGGUUCAAAAGUGACCCGUAAUCCGCACGUGGUUUCCGUUUGCCCAAAGACCCGUAAUCCGCACAUGGUUUCCGAUUGCCAACCAUCUAAUCCCCCUGGCCCGGAACCAGCCGGCACUAAUACCCAUUACCCAAGGACCCAGCACCAACGCCGCGAUAACUUUAAACUUGGGGAGGGCGUAAAGCAUUCCGUGGCCACAUGAGGUAUUCGAACCCAGGUCCGUAUUGGUUUGUUAACUACCUCAAGACCACUAGCCCACCACCCUGUGGUUACUCUUGCAUAACGUUUCCAGAAGCAAGUCUAAAUUCUUCCAAGAGGAACCAGUCCCUUGGACCAAAGCUUCUUUUGCCAUUUUUGAAUAUUCUUUUACAUUUUCCCUUGCGAGUUUUCCGUCUCCUUCCAUUAGUUCUCGAAUCUGUAAGAUAGAAAUAUUUUUUAAACACAUAAAAAAAUUUAGAUGUCACCCUAACAUUAAAUAACUAUAAAAUUAACUUAUCGAUUUGAACCCUUUUUUGAACCUUGUGUAUUUUUUUUAGUUUGUCUUUAACAAAUAACAGAAAGAUCAUUUUCAUAAAGAUUUAUAAAAAUAAUCUAAAAAUGAAGAGUUUUCUAACAAACAGGAAAGAUAUCAAAAUAGUAAGUUGGCAUAUAUAUAUAUAUAUAUAUAUAUAUAUAUAACACAUAGAACAAGAUCUAAUUAGCUUAAAAAGACAGAAUUAACGUUGUUAUUUACCAAUAAUUCAUGUCGUAAUCUGUUCGAACUAUUAAAAUCAAAAUUAAGAAAAAAAAUUAUGUUUGCAACUUGAUUACCUUUUGACUUAAUUCCUUUCGUGUCACGAAUCCUUGCACACUCCCGUCUUGGGUUUCAACUCUUACUCCAACUUUUACCUCCUCAGCUACCAUCUUCGCGUUGAGUGGUUGAUCGGCCAUCAUUGGCCAAGCCAACAAUGGGACCCCAACGCAUAUACUCUCUUGUGCUGAGUUCCAGCCACAAUGACUCAAGAAACCUUCAACACUUUCA